This 496-nucleotide ribosomal RNA is filed under the name uncultured bacterium. RNAcentral describes it as "partial 16S ribosomal RNA". It matches the Rfam family "Bacterial small subunit ribosomal RNA", at positions 29 to 507 of the family's 1533-position model. The record is from RNAcentral.
AUGAACGCUGGCGGCGUGCCUAAUACCUGCAAGUCGCGCGAACGGACGAGAAGCUUGCUUCUCUGAUGUUAGCGGCGGACGGGUGAGUAACACGUGGAUAACCUACCUAUAAGACUGGGAUAACUUCGGGAAACCGGAGCUAAUACCGGAUAAUAUUUUGAACCGCAUGGUUCAAAAGUGAAAGACGGUCUUGCUGUCACUUAUAGAUGGAUCCGCGCUGCAUUAGCUAGUUGGUAAGGUAACGGCUUACCAAGGCAACGAUGCAAAGCCGACCUGAGAGGGUGAUCGGCCACACUGGAACUGAGACACGGUCCAGACUCCUACGGGAGGCAGCAGUAGGGAAUCUUCCGCAAUGGGCGAAAGCCUGACGGAGCAACGCCGCGUGAGUGAUGAAGGUCUUCGGAUCGUAAAACUCUGUUAUUAGGGAAGAACAUAUGUGUAAGUAACUGUGCACAUCUUGACGGUACCUAAUCAGAAAGCCACGGCUAACUACGUG